Molecule: long non-coding RNA, 2553 nt
Filed under: Astyanax mexicanus (Mexican tetra)
Lineage: Eukaryota; Metazoa; Chordata; Actinopteri; Characiformes; Acestrorhamphidae
Description: lncRNA (ENSAMXG00005014877.1)
Source: RNAcentral
UCCAGAGAUGUAUAUCUAGAAGAAAGUCUUCUCUGGACGCUGGACAAAAAAAAAAAACUUAACACUGAUUUAAGAAAAAAAAAAAAAUCUUCAGGUGUCCCGAUACUUUUUUUUCAUAUAGUGUAUUCUAAGGUGUAAAGCUGGAUGAUGACUAAAGGACACUAGAUAAAGAAUACAGAUUACCAUGUUCGUGUAUGUAAGUGCAGGAAGUGUAAUUUCCACAUAUUUCCCCUAAACAUGUUUCAUAUUUACACUCACUAGCUCAUUUCCCCUUCCUGGAACUGCUGAAUAUUUCUACUGUAAUACUUUCUCAUUGAUUGAUGCUGUUCUAUCCUCAGUACUGUUACUGGUCUCCUCAGACUGAACUGGACGCACUGGUCCAGUUGGCUGCAGGGUCUGGGUCCGGCAGCAGUGCUGUGGUUGGUGGUUCAGGAGGAGUCUCCGCUCUACUCGUCUCUCAGUCUGCUGCAGGCGGGGGGCAGGCUGCUGCAGGCUGUGCUGAUCUGGACCAUACUCGCCCUCUGCACUUAUUUAAUCCGCUUCCUUUACCAUAACAAAGAGACUUAUAUACAGAGGCUCAGAGGAGUAUCCUGGAUCAGUGCAGAACCCAUCAGAGAAAAUAAACCUUAUCAUCAGCAGCGUGAACAGGAUGCGGGUCAUCUUGUGUCUGUGCUCAGUUCUGUGCUGGAUGGAUUUGUGGUGUCUGUUCUUCAGGAGCCGGUUUCAGGAGAGUCCAGUCUUCCACAGAUACGCUGCCUCCUCACCAGGCUGGAGGUAGUAUCUCAGGCACUCCAUAAGGGCUCCCUUUCUGAGGGCCAGUCACUACAGAUCAAAGAGGAGGAAGAGGAAGUGAGUGAGGAAGAUUCUUCACUAAGGGACAGAGUUAAACACAUCCACACUUACCUGCAGGACAGGGUGGGUGCUCUGCGCUGCCUCCUGCAGGUUCAGGAUGAGUACGGCGGGUGUCUGGCAGAGGUUCAGCAGGGUCUGCAGGAGCACUGGGAGCUUCUGGAGGAUCUACACACCAGAGUAACCCUGCAGCCGGAUCAGCACCAGAACCCGGAGGACCCCAACACUGUUCUCUCGGAUACAGAGAGCCUCUACACACAGCUGGGUCUGUUUAGGAGGACGGUUAAUGAGUGUCAGACUCACCUGAACUCCUGUACACACCUACUGCAGGGUCUGGAGAGCAGGCAGAAGGUUCUGGCUGAGAAGGUGGGUUUAACACUGGACUCUACGUGGAUCAAAGACUUUGUUCAGUCUAACUCUCAACAGUUCAAAAAGGUGCAGGAGAACUUCCUGUCUCUGGAGCAGCAGACCCUGACCUUUGUGACCCACCUCAGAGGACUCAGAGCACCGGGAGACAGUGGCGGGUGUGAUCUUGAGCCCGUUCAGACAACGCCCUCAUCGCCUCUCUCAUCUGUACCGGUCUAUACCGCUGUUUUAUCCACAGACAGUACUGACCCUCACCUGGACCCGGACCUGGAUACAAAACCCCCACCCAGACCCAGCUCCAAACUUUCAGCUAUGAGCUGUCUGUGUGGAGUGAGACGCAGGAAGUGAUCUGACCUCUGAGUCAGUGUUUGUUCUAAUGAAGGUGUGAGCUUCAGAGCUUCUCAUGGACACCUAGCAGCUAGUAUAUAUAAUAUUAGCUACAGCAGUGAAAUAAUAAGCAGGUCUAGCAGGUGCAGGCAAGCGUUGUGCUCACUAUUAACAACACAAGAAGAGGUAGUACGUGUGUUUGUAUUUCCAUGUUUUGGAAAUGGAGCUACAGAACUACACUAAAAACUGAUGCACUGUGAAAGAAAGAGGUGGAGUGUUAUUCCUGCCCACAGAGCUCCCUGAUAGGUCUACUGGGCAAUAGAGGGACACGAUUUGUAUGUGGGAGAAUCACAGUAAUCACAGGAGAGGUGGGAUGCCUGUGUCUUUCUGAAUCCUUUUGGUCUCCAGGUUUCUAAUGUUGUGGGUUCAUUUAUUGCUGUGGUCUUUGCCUCUCAAAAAACCUUCAGUAGGUGAAGUGGCUAAAUGCUAAAUGCUAAAUUGUAUGUGAUACCCUGUGAUAGACUGGUGCCCAGUGAUUUCAGACAGGUUCUGGAACCACUGUGACCCUGAACAGGAAGAAGAAGAUGAGCAGAUAAAUGGAUUGAUUUUUUUUUUUUUGGGCAACUGCUAUCUAUCCUGCUCUAUACUUUAGAGCCUUUUGUUUUUUUUUUUGUUGAAGAGCAAAUUAAUCAUAAAGUGAGAAAAUGGCUCCCAUUAAAAUUGUGUAUUUCUAUUCAGCUUGUUUUUGAUGGAUUACUAUGAUUUAUAAUCAUGAUUCCACAUCAGUAACAAGAGAUUUAUUGAGUGUGGGUCUGUAAUACUUUACUCAGCUCUGGUAAAAAAUAUUUUUUAAGAGUCUAUAAUAGAGUUUAUAAUGUAUAGUGAUAUGAUGUGUGUUGUUGGUCCAGUUGCUGUUUUGCUGUUGUUUACCAGUAUGACAUUCUGACUUUAAUAUUUUAUUUAUUUAUGCUAGAUGUAGAAUAAAUUGCACUACAACUUAGCCUAUUUUCA